CCAAGGAGUCUAACAUGUGCGCGAGUCAUUGGGAAUGUAAACCCAAAGGCGGAAUGAAAGUAAAGAUUCGAUUGCGAAUUUGAGGAGAGAUCAUGGCUUUUGUUUGGGAUUCUGUAAAGUUUCCUGGAGAAAGUAUGCGCAUCUCCUGGACGUCUAUACCUCUGAAGGUGGGGCGUACCUAGAGCGUACACGUUGGGACCCGAAAGAUGGUGAACUAUGCCUGGUCAGGACGAAGUCAGGGGAAACUCUGAUGGAGGUUCGUAGCGAUUCUGACGUGCAAAUCGAUCGUCGGAACUGGGUAUAGGGGCGAAAGACUAAUCGAACCAUCUA
RNAcentral lists this ribosomal RNA (330 nucleotides) under Tomocerus minor. Its description in RNAcentral is "eukaryotic LSU rRNA". It matches the Rfam family "Eukaryotic large subunit ribosomal RNA", at positions 666 to 946 of the family's 3401-position model. The record is from RNAcentral. Lineage: Eukaryota; Metazoa; Arthropoda; Collembola; Entomobryomorpha; Tomoceridae.